Oreochromis aureus is the source of this 2199-nucleotide long non-coding RNA. NCBI's taxonomy places the organism in Eukaryota, Metazoa, Chordata, Actinopteri, Cichliformes, Cichlidae. The record is from Ensembl.
UGAAUAGCACAGUGUGGCUGCACAUAUUUUAUCAGCUUGUACAGUAUGUGUACUUCCUUUGCAUUGCUGUGAACAUUAUGACAAGCAUCUUCAGUAACAAAACAUCGUGAAACUCGAGUCUUUAACUAAACAGAAUGACAUUGUGAUGAGAUCUGACACUGAUUGUAAUACAUCUCAGUGCAUCUGACCACUGUGAAGCCAUCAUAUACAAACAGCUAAAAGAGGAAGGAAAACCAAUACCACUUCCUUUUUCCCCCUCAAUGCAUGAAUAUGAGUACGACUACAGUACCGGAUGCCAACAUUUUCACUGGCUCACCUCUGAGGCUGAUUACUAACACGUUGGAGUCCGUUCAGAGCACCACACCCACCUUUGUUUUUGAGGGAAAAGCUGCUGACUGGAACAACACAGGCCGAACACUGUGCAGACAUGGAAGCUGUAGUUGCACUGUUGCUGGUGUUGCUUAGAGUCUCUCAUGGUUUCAAAACUUACUGUGAUGGCAGACAGGAUGGAGCUCAGUGUUAUGGACCUUUGGGAGGAACUGUGGACAUCCAGCUGAUAGACAGCACUUCAGAAAUGCCUAGAUACCAACUUUCAAAGAAUACAUUAAAAAUACUAGAUGUGAGAAAAAAUAAGGUUAUUUCUAAUACCAUAGGAGAUAGAUAUACCCUUUUUCUCAGCAAUGGAACAUUUAGGGUCAAUAACCUGAGCAGGAACGACAGUGGUAAAUAUACCCUUCAAACAUUUAAUUUAGAUGGAACAUCAUCAGGCGAGCAGACUUUGCAGUUGUUUAUUCAAGCUCCUGUGUCCUCUGUCCUGCUGGUCUCUGAGUGUCUGUCCCAGGGAGAGAGGAGGGUGUCCUGCUCCUCUGAGAGAGCGAACAAUCCUCAGUACAGCUGGACUCUGGAUGGACGCACACUGACAGAUGCUGAGCUCCUUUCUGGAAAUCAUGAGAGUAACAUCAUCACUCUGAAACAGCACGUCUCAGGAAAUCUGGUCUGCUCAGUCAGGAACAAUGUCAGUAAUGUCUUCAAAGAGGAGAGAAUAUCUACCUGUGGUUAUAUUUAUAUUAACUGUACUUCUGUCAAUGGGACACAGAUAUUAAGGUGGGUGUAUAAAGCUAAUAACACCCUGUGUACGCAACCAAAACAGACUUCUGUGGGUAAGAAAAAAGAAACUGCCAUCAGUGAUGAGCCAUGGUAUAUUAGAAAUUUGCCACUGAUAGGUGGUGUUCUCUCAGUUCUGGUAAUUUUCUUGGUUGUUGGUGUAGCAGUCAUAUGUGCUUGGAGGAAAAAACAAAACAGCAAACCUACAAAAAAGGAGGAAGAAGAUGACCAGGAGGUCUUUGGUGAUGUCAGGUUUGUCAAAAGGCCGGCAAACCAAGCUGAGAAAAAAGCGGAGGUGGAGUACGGCCAAGUCAAGUCUGCAAAGCGACCUCGGAAGCCUGAACCAGCAUUUACUGAUACUGUGUAUGCUAACGUCCAUAAAGUCAAGUAAUGAAGUGCUCAGUGGUUUUGGACAGACAGCUCCACUGAAAGUAGCUGGAGUGAGGAGCUGAUGUUAAGAAACCUAAAGGUCCUUCAUUUAAUUUAUUGGAUUAUUUUACUGUCACUGCACUUCUUUAUUAUAUCAGGUGAUCAACGCAUCUACUGUUAUGUGACCUCUGGAUUUAAUUACAAAACACUGAGUGUUUUCUGCAUCUGUACUCUGUGGAAGCCAUAACAGAACGAAGGUUAUGAUUGCUAUUUUUUAGUGUUUCUCUUUUAACUUGAACUUGACUAGUUCUUGGUAAAGGUUUGACCAAUGUGUAAAUGGAGACAUGAUAAGGAGAAGGCACUUUAACAUUUAUGAAAAUAUGACUGUAAAUAAAGAUUCUUUUGUACCACACAUGUUAUGUGAAAAAAACUGUAGCUUUUUAUAUAUAUUUGCUUUUGCACAGAUACACUAUAACAAUGUACUUGUAGAAUAUAUAUGGGAUAUGCCCCCGAGAGUGAGUACAUAGUAGAGGUGGAGAGGAAAGCAGAGGGAAAAGGCUGUAGUGACAGAUGUAGCUAUACCAAGUGAUAGAAACACCAGGAAGAAGGAGCAAGAUGGAGAAAUACUAAGGGCUGAGAGGGGAGCUAGAGAAGAUGUGGAGGGUUAGGCCAACAGUGGUCCCAGUGGAAAUCAAAACACUUGGGGCUGUGACUCCGAAAAUGGGC